Molecule: ribosomal RNA, 520 nt
Filed under: uncultured Scutellospora
Lineage: Eukaryota; Fungi; Glomeromycota; Glomeromycetes; Diversisporales; Gigasporaceae
Description: SSU rRNA
Rfam family: Eukaryotic small subunit ribosomal RNA
Source: RNAcentral
AGCAGCCGCGGUAAUUCCAGCUCCAAUAGCGUAUAUUAAAGUUGUUGCAGUUAAAAAGCUCGUAGUUGAAUUUCGGGGUUCCACCGUUGGUCAGGCUAUUGUCUGUACUGGUGUGUAGAAUUUCUACCUUCUGGGGAACUAUCAUGUUAUUAAUUUAGCGUGGUAGGAAACCAGGACCUUUACCUUGAAAAAAUUAGAGUGUUCAAAGCAGGCUUAUGUCUGAAUACAUUAGCAUGGAAUAAUAAAAUAGGACGGUGGUCCUGUUUUGUUGGUUUCUGAAUCACCGUAAUGAUUAAUAGGGAUAGUUGGGGGCAUUAGUAUUCAAUUGUCAGAGGUGAAAUUCUUGGAUUUAUUGAAGACUAACUACUGCGAAAGCAUUUGCCAAGGAUGUUUUCAUUAAUCAAGAACGAAAGUUAGGGGAUCGAAGACGAUCAGAUACCGUCGUAGUCUUAACCAUAAACUAUGCCGACUAGGGAUCGGACGAUGUUAACUUUUCUUGACUCGUUCGGCGCCUUACGGG